UACGAAGGGGGCUAGCGUUGCUCGGAAUUACUGGGCGUAAAGCGCACGUAGGCGGAUUGUUAAGUCGGGGGUGAAAUCCUGGAGCUCAACUCCAGAACUGCCUUCGAUACUGGCGAUCUCGAGUUCGGGAGAGGUGAGUGGAACUGCGAGUGUAGAGGUGAAAUGCGCAGAUAUCAGGAAGAACACCCGUGGCGAAGGCGGUUCUCUGGGACGGUACUGACGCUGAGACGCGAAAGCGUGGGGAGCGAACAGG
RNAcentral lists this ribosomal RNA (253 nucleotides) under uncultured bacterium. RNAcentral's name for it is "partial 16S ribosomal RNA". It matches the Rfam family "Bacterial small subunit ribosomal RNA", at positions 524 to 776 of the family's 1533-position model. The record is from RNAcentral.